This 477-nucleotide ribosomal RNA is filed under the name uncultured bacterium. RNAcentral describes it as "partial 16S ribosomal RNA". It matches the Rfam family "Bacterial small subunit ribosomal RNA", at positions 28 to 507 of the family's 1533-position model. The record is from RNAcentral.
GAUUAACGCUGGCGGCAUGCAUAACACAUGCAAGUCGAACGAUGAAACUUAGUAGACUUCUUCGGAAAGACACUAAGCGGAUUAGUGGCGAACGGGUGAGUAACGCGUGAGUAACCUGCCUUACACAAGGGGAUAGCCUUUGGAAACGAAGAAUAAUACCCUAUAAAACCAUAAAAGCACAUGCUAGAAUGGUCAAAGUGAUAGCGGUGUAAGAUGGACUUGCGUCUGAUUAGCUAGUUGGUGAGAUAAAAGCUCACCAAGGCAACGAUCAGUAGCCGGCUUGAGAGAGUGUACGGCCACAUUGGGACUGAGACACGGCCCAGACUCCUACGGGAGGCAGCAGUGGGGAAUUUUGCACAAUGGGGGAAACCCUGAUGCAGCGACGCCGCGUGAUUUAGAAGGCCUUCGGGUUGUAAAAAUCUUUUGUAUAGGAAGAAAAUGACAGUACUAUACGAAUAAGGUCCGGCUAAUUACGUG